This 388-nucleotide ribosomal RNA is filed under the name Extatosoma popa. RNAcentral's name for it is "partial 12S ribosomal RNA". The record is from RNAcentral. Lineage: Eukaryota; Metazoa; Arthropoda; Insecta; Phasmatodea; Phasmatidae.
CUAGGAUUAGAUACCCUAUUAUUUUAUAUGUUAAUAAUUUAAUUAGGUAGUAAUAGUUAUGUUCUUUAAACCUAAAGAAUUUGGCGGUGUUUUAGUCUAUUCAGAGGAAUUUGCCCCUUAAUCGAUAAUCCUCGAUUGAUUCUUUCUUUGGUUUGAUUAAUCAGUAUGUAUAUCGCCGUUAUAAGUUUAUUUUAUUAGAAUUAAUUUACUUAAUUUUUUAUUAAAAUUUAUUUCAGGUCAAGGUGCAGCCUAAUACUUAAGUGGAGGUGAAUUACAAUAUUAUUUUAAUAUAUGGAUUUAUUUUUGAAAUAUUUUAAUGAAGGUGGAUUUGUUAGUAAUUUUGUUUAUAGUGAUUUUUUGAUUUUAGCUCUAAAAUAAGUACACAUCG